This 36-nucleotide non-coding RNA is filed under the name unclassified sequences. RNAcentral's name for it is "DUF805b RNA". It matches the Rfam family "DUF805b RNA". From Rfam's summary of the family: Bacteroidetes, Chlorobi (1 example), Proteobacteria. Lineage (Flavobacteria) The record is from RNAcentral.
AACGGGGGUGCCGAAAACCGUGUGAAAGAGUAGGCG